AUGGGCAGCGGCGAGUCACGGCUGCUCACCGCGUGCGCGUGCUCGCGGCCGGCGCCGGCGUCCGUCGACGCGGAGCCCUGCCUGGACGACGCGCUCGGCCACUCCUUCUGCUACGCCUCCGCCGCCGCCUACUCCUCCUCCUUCCGCCACGGCAUCUCCGGCGCCGCGCUCUCCGCCAACUCCUCCGUGCCCGUGCCGCUCUACCUCUCCUCCUCCGCCGCCGGCGCGGGCUCCGUGCCGCAGAACUACUCCUCCGCGUUCCACACAUCCUCCUCCUUCUCCUCCGCGCCGCUGCAGCUCUCCAACCUCUCCUCGGGGCCCCUGUUCCUCUCCGGGCCCAUCGACCGCGGCGCCCAGCUCUCCGGUCCGCUCGACGCCGCCGUGCCCUUCUCCGGCCCGCUCCCCACCAAGCCCACCAAGCGCACCUCCUCCUCGUCCAGAGGGCUCUCCAGCAGGUUCCGGAAGCCGUUAUUCGGCAGCCUGCGGCGGAGCGUGUCGGAGAAGCACCAGCCGGCGCUCAUGGUGCCACUCCGCCGAGACGACGGCGUGCAAUGGGCGCACGGGCGCGCAGGGGAGGACCGCGUCCACGUGGUUGUCUCCGAGGACCAGCGUUGGCUGUUCGUCGGCAUUUACGAUGGCUUCAACGGCCCUGAGGCCCCCGACUUCCUUGUUGCCAACCUCUACCGCUUCCUCCUACGCGAGCUUCGUGGGAUAUUCUACGAAGAGGCAGACAGGGAUAGCAAGCGGCUGUGGCAGUUCCUCGCCGACGGUGAUGACGAUGACAACGAACUCGACUUUUCAGGUUCCGGCAGGUUUGCAAUGUCGCUUGCCAGGCUCAAGGAGCGGCGGUUCAACAUGUGGGCACAUGCAGCGGCUGUGGGUGAUGAUGAAAUCAGCAGGGAGUGGGGUCCCAAGAAGUUGGAGGCAGCGCCAGCAGUGAGGGAUCAUGGAGCUGUGCUUGGUGCGCUCACUCGGGCGCUGGCCUCGACGGAGGCAGCAUACCUCGACAUGACUGACCAAUCAAUGGGAUCCCACCCAGAGUUGGCGGUGACCGGGGCAUGCCUGCUUGUGGCAUUGGUGAGGGAUGACGACGUGUAUGUAAUGAAUCUUGGGGACAGCCGCGCCAUUGUGGCGCAACGAGCAGAUGAUGACCAUGGUUGCGGGCUUGGAGCCAUGAGGAUGGAUGAUAUUGGCGUGGGAUUGGAGAUCGAGUCAAGGCCUGUCGGAUAUCCCAUGAUUGGGCUUGAGGCACUGCAGCUAUCUAUCGAUCAUAGCACCAGCAUCGAAGAGGAAGUGCAGAGAAUCAAACGUGAACAUCCAGAUGAUGAUCAGUGUAUCGUAAAUGACAGAGUAAAGGGCCGUUUAAAAGUUACCCGAGCAUUUGGCGCUGGGUAUCUCAAGCAGGCGAAGUUGAACAAUGGAUUGCUCGAGAUGUUCCGCAAUGAGUACAUAGGUGAUGCACCAUACAUAUCAUGCAUACCUUCUCUUUGCCAUCACAAGCUCACUUCAAGGGACCAGUUUUUGGUACUUUCUUCCGAUGGCUUAUAUCAGUACCUGAGCAACGAGGAGGUCGUUCUGCAUGUUGAGAAUUUCAUGGAGAGAUUUCCUGAAGGCGAUCCAGCACAGAGUCUAAUUGAGGAACUUCUUUCCCGUGCAGCAAAGAAAGCUGGUAUGGAUUUCUACGAGCUACUAGAUAUACCUCAAGGGGACCGGAGGAAAUACCACGACGACGUCACCGUCAUGGUUGUUUCCCUGGAAGGUAGAAUAUGGAAAUCGUCUGGAACUUAUGUGUGA
Molecule: ribosomal RNA, 1794 nt
Filed under: Triticum aestivum (bread wheat)
Lineage: Eukaryota; Viridiplantae; Streptophyta; Magnoliopsida; Poales; Poaceae
Description: partial small subunit ribosomal RNA
Source: RNAcentral